RNAcentral lists this long non-coding RNA (37142 nucleotides) under Coffea arabica (coffee). Its description in RNAcentral is "long non-coding RNA (CARA_LNC006704)". Lineage: Eukaryota; Viridiplantae; Streptophyta; Magnoliopsida; Gentianales; Rubiaceae. The record is from RNAcentral.
UAAAAACCAGUAAGAUAACACGGUAAAGAGCUACGUGUAACACGAAUUUGCUGUGCAUGUGGAUGAGUCUCUGUCGCAAAUCUGAGUAUCCUAACACGUGUACAUCUCUAAUCACAUAUAUAUGACAAGAUUUUAGACAAAUUAACGCUUUACAGGUAGAGGCAAAUUGAGAGAGUGGCAAAAAUGGAGUCAACGAAGGAGAGAAAAGAGAAAGUGGAGAAGGGGCAAACGGAACAGAAGGGAAGUGUUGAUCCAAUAGCCAAGGCUAGGGAGGUACUUCAAGAAGCUGUCAUUAGCAAAGAUGAUGGAAAGGCUCAGGGCGAUAAUAAUGACGAGAAGGAAGGAGCAAAAGACCCUGAUGACAUUUUGGUUUUUGCUAGAGCUGUUCACCACACUGAUUCCUCGCUUGAUUGAUAUAUAGCUACAUGACGAGAAGUAUCUAUGAAGUGUAAAUGAGACGAAGAGGGUUUUAGAGGUGACUGGCCAGUCUAAGUUACUGUACAAUUUUCAGUUUGUUUCAAUAUGAGAGUUGGAAAUCACAAGUUUAAAUUGUUCUUACUCAUUCUUGAUUCUUAAUUCUUUACGGAAAGGAGAGUAGCAAAAGCAUGACAGGAUUGAUUAUGCACAACAUAAUUUUGGAUGGGAAGGAUAUUGCAGAUAUUAAAUAUUCUACUCAAGAUUUGUGAGUUGCAACCAUAUAUCACCUCAGAGAUCUAAGCCAAGAAAAGAUUGUUCCAUAUGAAAAAUCGCAAAAAAAGUCUUAAUUUCUCCAAAUUUUCAAAGGCGAGGUUCUUUUACUUGCCUGGUACAUCUUCUUAGUUAUUGGAGAGAUCAUUAGAGUAUAUCACUUAGGUCCUUUGCAAGUAGGAUGAAGUAACUAAAUCCAUUUUUGUCAUGCUUUGUGCUCAUGGCAUGUAUCUUAAUAUGAGAAGAAGAUAAAGAGAAUUUAUAAUGAAAUGACAAAAAGGACAAUAGUGCAUGUUUCCAACCAUGAAUUUUUAAUUCAGAUGCUUUCUAUCGGUCACAUUGAAUACUUAAGCUAUGCAUACAGCCAUACGGGUCCACACAUUGGAUGUCUUUUACUACUCUCAUCUCCAUACCAAUUUACAUUUUUAUAUACGAAAUGGGAUUGCUAAGUUAGUGAAGUUACGGCUACUAUCCUGGUCACUACACUCAGCAAUGUCCUUUAAACUAGUCCAAGAUUUUCUCUUCCGCUUGCUUGAUGGUAUGGAAGCUUUCUUUGCAUCAACAGGAACAGAACUGCUUUCUGAUUCAACAAUUUUCUUGGAUCCUGAUCUAGUCCUUUUCCUCUUUCUUGUAUCCAACAAAGUCUCAACUUUAGCCGAGGGAGUUGUAGAACUGUCAUUCGCAGGAUCCUUGUUAAUUAUUUUUUGUGAAGCAAUUCCAUCCACCUUGGACAUGGGAUCAUUUUUGCUUGCUGUAAUGACCUUUGCUUUGGCAAACUUUGGAUGACUUGAUUUGGUAGGAUCUGAUUUUGAAGAGACUUUGGGCUUCGAUGGACACAACUCUUUCAUGUAGCCUUUCGGGGUUCCUCUCUUCAAGUUUCUAUGCGAACAAAAGUGGCAGCUGUAAACCACACUGUUUUCAAUCGAAAGACUACGUUUCUUGCGCCUUCGCUUUGGAUUUGGUUUUAUCUUCUCAAUCCGAACCGUACAAUUAUAGCCAGGUUGAAGAAUAGAUUCACACCUGUAGAAAAAUUACAAUGGUAAUCAAAACAUUAGACACGCAGAUGAAUGUUUGUAUUAUAAUCCACCACCAUGGUGGUAACAACAUUAAGAUUGUACUGCAGUAUCUCCUUUGCUUCUAUACAAUCAAGAAAAAUAGUCUUGCAAGAAUCGAUCUUUAGUAGCAAAGAGCCAGAAGGAACCAUCCAGGCAGUGAAAACAUCUAGAAAUAUGGGUGAGCAUCGUUGCAUCAGCCAUCUGCAUAAAGGGUUAUAUUAGGACUUCAUUCUACAUCUAUGCUUCCUUCCUUCGCUUUCUUGCUCUAGCUGAGGGCAACUAGAGAUAAUAACUUGGGCCAAUGAGUGUUGUACUCAGACCUAUAUGUCAGUUUUAGGAAUGAUAUUACUUCCAAAACAAUUCGUUGUUGUAGAAAUACCAGUUAAUCUUCGAGUCAUGAAAUUCACUAGCUACUCCUAGAUAGAAGCACAAACAAAAUAUGUUUAUCCGAAACAUCAAGCAUGUUUGAGGAGAUUGGUUUCACGGAAGUAUUUUCCCAAAAUACGGUAAGACGGCCUUCUAUAAGCUACUAGAGCAAAUUCUACAAGAACGUUGUGUGUAAAAACUUGAUUGUCCAAAACAGUUUACUCCAUUACAGAGAAGAGGUCAUAAUCUGAUAGACAUACACGUAAUUUAACUGUACCGCAUCACAAACCAAAGCCUUUAAGCCUCUAAAAUUCCUAGGAACUAAUCAUGGAAGCACUAAAUCAAACUAAAAAACGUUACUACUGAAAUAGAACACAACAACUCUAAUACAACCAAAUAGGACUUGUAUCGAACAUGUAGAAUACGCCACAAGUAGAAAGCACAAAAACGAUAGGAAAAAUGGGAAGAAUUUAGGGGACCUCUGGCAGGAGAACAAUGAAGGGUCAGGAGGAACACCCAAGGCUUCAGCAGUGGCAGCCAAGCGGUGGCCAAAAAAAGCACCUAGUGAACAUACGGAAGCUUCGGCAGUAGCCCAGAUAGCGAGGUUUUUAAGGUGGUCCAAUUUCAACAUGGACUUGGGAUUUACGCUGCUCUGUUUCUUUCCGCUAGAUUCUUCUCUCAUUGUUCCUGAAGGAGCCUGCUGCAAGUGUGGCUGUGAAGAUAUUGCCGCUGCUGCUGCUGUGGAUGAAUUCUUCUUCUUACCCAUCGCUACUCAAAUUUGGAAACUCAAUAAAAGUAUCAAAAUAUGUUUUAAACACUUAAUGAGGAAUCGCAGCCACAAUAUCAAGAACAGUAACAGUAAGAUUCAAACUAGUAAAUAGUCUGAUAAUACCUGAAACAAAAAAGAAAAAGAAUCAGAUAAUUACCCAAAUCAACUUAGCUAGUUGGUGGGGUUUUGAUUGUUUGGACCAACGAAAUAGAAUAGAAAGCAGUGCCAGAGAGUGGCAGCAGCAGGGAAGAAGAGGGAGGAAUGAUUGAGGGACGGAAUAAAAGGAGAAACUCAGGUAGAGGCCGCAUGAGUCUUAUGACUUACAGUCUGGGCUGGGACAAGAUGGGUUCGAGACAGUUUAGCCCAGGUCAUGGUAUUCGGGCCAAAUAACUACUACUAGUCUACUACUUGUUUUCUUUGUGAACAGAUUUCGACACAAAAUAGUGCGGGAUAAUUUCAUAAACCCCCCUGAGAUUUUUUAUAAUUACAACCACCACCUUUAAAGUUUGAAAAAUUACACUUAUCCGUGCGUCCGAUCCUGAGGUGACUGCAAUUGUUUAAAAAACUCAAGGAGGUUCCUGAAAUUAUACCGUGCAACAAUGAAGAUAUUGGCUUCAGCCUCCUCGCUCCCAAACUUUAACUAACACAAGAUAAAAUUUUUAUACUCCAAGAAAAACUUUUCAUGUUAGCAUAGAAUUAUAGUGAAUUUUAUGGUGAGAGCAUUUAAUAAUUGAAAAAAUGUAGUUUGGUCCAUUCUAAUUUGGUCUAUACAAUAGGAACUACUUCCAUAUAAUAUGUUAUCCAUGUAAUCCUCUCUAGCUCACUCCCUAUUAACAUGAGGUGGUUUAGGUAUAACAACUGGAGUUUUAUAGACUUCAAGAGCUGCAUAUCUUGCUGCUAGGACUGAAGUGGCGGCACCAAUUACAAUAGCAUCCUCAUCAUCAUCACUAUCGGGAUCCAUCUAUGAAAAUUUAAUAUAAUUAUUAAUUGAUUGCAUGCAUAUAAUUGUUAAUUAGGAUUUAAAGAUGUACUUACCAAUGGAAUACCUUAGCGAAUGUGUAAGGAGUACGAUUACUUGAACAGAAAUUCGCAACAGAAAUCCAACUGCCGCCCAAAACCAUGAUGCCAAUAAGAUUACUUGUUUGGGUAAUAAACAUUUAAUUCACGUAGCAGUAGAUUAUUAGUAGUGUACCAGAAAAAGCCAGAGUGAUGCAGGGGUCUCAAAUGCAGAGUGAUGCAGGUUAUACCAAUAGCAGUUAAUGUUCUCCUUAAAUGUGGGCGGGCCCAAGAAGAAUAAGAGUAUAUAAAGGACAUAGGAAAAGAAAGUUAGCUUGUGUUCAUAGUUCAGCUGUUUCAGCACCCGAGACAGAGGAAAAGAAACAAUAUGAUUGUGUAGUCUCCUAAAACUUUUGUUAGCUACUUCAUUACUUUUUCCCAGAGAACCCCUUCCAAUGAAUCACGUUAAAAAGUGGACAGGAUUGGUAAAACAAUCUUGCUGCUGAAAUCUGAUAUUAAAAUAGGAGAGUGCAACUGUCUGUACAAAUGUUGCACGAAAUCUGCAUGAACAUGCAAAUACUAAGUCCCGAAGUGAUCUGUGGCUUUUCUUUCUGAUUAAACAUCUAUACAGGUCCACUUCAGUUUACAGGAAAGACAGCAAAAAAAAUCAAUUAUGCGCUGAUGUUGGAGCUUGGGGCGCAGGCUUAGCCCUAUUGGCUUGAGCUGGUUCUACUUGUGAUGACACAUUUCAAUAGAACUGAACUCAUUCUUCAAAUAUAGAAUUUUAAGUAGGACGAAUAUAGUCAGACAUUAUAGGAUCUGUUAUGAUUCACGAAAAACAAGAAUAUCAUUAUAGCUUGUUAACUGCAACGCUGGGAGAUUCUUUGCUCUCUGGGAUGAACACAAGCAAACUGUUUUCCUUCCUAAUCAGAUUUUGUCAACUAUUUACAAAUGGUCUCGCCAGACUGUAAGAAAAACACUACCCUACCCUACCCUACCCGGAUUCUGAUUCCAAGAAUCAUAAAACCCCCAAAACUCAGCAGCCAAAUUAAUUCAUUAGCAUCAAUCAAAUCAGAUUUAACCCUAAUCAGGUAAGAACAAACUAAAACAAAAGCAACUCACAAAAAUUCAUUCAAAUCCAACUUCAAGAAUCUACACCAGUAUUCUAGACAAUUUUUCAAAGGAAAAGGGAGGAAAAAAAGGCUAAUAAGAGACCAUCAUACCUCUGGAAAUACUUAAGGAGUUUUCACCCUUGUUGGAAAUGCUACUGUAGGAACGGGAAUGAGAUUGUGCUUAGGCCGUCAAACAAGCUUCUGAGGCUGCAUAAGCAAACGCAUCCACAAUGGCGGGCACAGCUCACAAACAAAAAGCAGACUGAAGAGUCAGAGAGGGAGAUGGUUACCGGCCGCAAUGGCUAAGUCUAGUUCCGAUGACUAGAGAAAUGGACCACACAAACUCACACUCACACAAACGCAUCCACACAUGACUUGAGCCGUUGAUAUUGGCCGCUUUCAAAGGAAAAAAAUAUAUGAGAGAGAGAGAGAGAGAGAGAUGCCGGAGUAGCUCACCUGAUGAGAUGCCAAAGAGAGAGAUGCCGGGAAUGAAAGUUAUUUUCCUGAUGAGAUGUCGCUGAUGAGAUCGAAAACCCUUGCUGGAGCCGUGAAAAGAAGAGGAAAAUAACUUCUUCAACAAUGAUAGAUAAUAAGGAAGUUAACCCGUGGGUAUAUCCGAAAUUAUUUUUCUAAAUUAAUUAAUAAUUAAACAAUGAAAAAUAUUUUUUAGAAAAUCUUUUUCAUCCAAACAAACAGAUCCUAAGUAUAAAUUAUAGGGUCUGUUUGGAUAGCUUGUUUUUGGGACUGUUUUUGAAAAACUGUUUUUCACAUUCCAAAUGCUACAAUAAAUGUGUAUUUCAAAAACAACUCCAAAAACACCAUAUCCAAACAAUAUAUCAAAAACAACUCCAAAUAAAUAUUUAAUAUGUUUAUUUCAAUUUGUAUAUUUCAAUUAUGUAUAGGAUAUAUAUAUAUAUAUAAUAUUAAUUUAAAUAUAUUUAUUUAUACAUAUUAUAAAUAUUUUAUUUUAUAAAUAAAUAUAUAUUGGAUAAAAUAUAUUUUUAUAUAUUUAUAAUAUAUUUAUAUAAAUAUUAUAUAUUAUAAAUUAUAUAAAUGAUAUAUAAUAAUAUGUAAUUAUACAUUUAUAAAAAUAUUAUAUAUUAUAUAUAUUUGAUAUAUACAUAAUAUAUAUUAUAUAUAUUAUACAUUUAUAUAAAUGUACAUUUAUACAUAAUAUAUAUAUUUAUGUAUAUUUAUAAUAUACUUUUAUAUUAUGUAUUAUAUAUAAUAUAAUACAUUUAUAAUAUAUUUAUACAUUUAUAUUAAUAUACAUAAUAUUAAUUAUACAUUUAUAUAUAAUAUUAAUACAUUUAUACAUUUAUAUUUAAUAUAUUAAUACAUUUAUACAUAAUAUUAACAUAUAUUUAUAAUAUAUUAAUUUAUACAUUUAUAUAAUAUUCAUUUAUAAUUUAUACACAUUUAUACAUUUAUAAAUAUAUUUAUAUUAUGUAUUAUAUAUAAUAUAUUUAUUAUAUAUAUAUAUUUAUAUGUAUUAUAAAUAAAUAUAUUUAUUUAUAAAUAUUUAUAAAUGUAUUAUAAAUGCAUAAAUGUAUAUAAAUAUAAAAAUAUAAAAUUUAUAAUUUAUAAUUUAUACAUUUAUACAUUUAUAUAAUAUUCAUUUAUAAUUUAUACACAUUUAUAAUAAUAUACAUUUAUACAUUUAUAAUACAUUUAUAUAUUUAUUUAUAAAUAUAUAAAUAUAUUUAUUUAUAAAUAUAUAAAUAUAUUUAUUUAUAAAUAUAUAAAUAUAUUUAUUUAUAAAUUUAUUAUAAAUGCAUAAAUGUAUAAAAAUAUAAAAAUUAUAAACUAUAAAUUAUAAUUUAUACAUUUAUAUAAUAUUCAUUUAUAAUUUAUACAUAGGGGUGCAAACGAGCCGAACCGAGUCAAACAUUGAACUUAUUGAGCCAGACUCGACUACUGUAUAUUCGAGUUCGAACUCGAGCUCGAGAAAAUUGAGCUCGAGCUCGACUCGACUAAGUAAGAAACUGGCUCGAGUUCGACUCGAUAAGGCUCGAUUUACUCAACUCGACAAGAGCUCGAAAUGGCUCGAAUUCAGCUCAAAAAUUUCUAUCACUAAAUAUAACCAGCUUUAUUUAACCUGACUCCAAUAGCACGUUUUAACCUAUUCAAUGCCUUGCAAACUUGAAUAUAACAAUUCCAAACAUGAAUUAAAAGUAACAACAAACAAGUUUUUCAUUGUCCAAUAAAUGAGAUCAAUUUUUUUUUCAAUAACAGCCCAUCUAGUAACAGAAAUAUAACAGAAAUGAAAGAAAAAGGAACAUCCUGAAGCAUACAAAGUGCUCCACACGAUUAACUCUGUUGAGAAAGUAUGAAACAACUUCUAAGCAAAAGGAACAUCCUGAAGCAUACAAAACUGAGCCUAAAACAUAAACAGCAAAAAAACCCAAAUUGCAGCUAGUAAACUCUUUUCCUAAUGUCUAUAAACUCCUGUUUUCCCAGGUUUGGAAUAUUAAAUGUAGUGCAACGCAAAUCCAAUCGUAGCAUAAGCCAAGAUUAUGUAAAAUAAAAAAAAUCAUAUCAAAGAUUAUGUUUAAUUACCUUCUUAGUUGAGUUUUGCAUAUUUACUCUGACCCUUGACUAAAUAUCAUCAAAGUCAUUCCAUUUACUCUUAGUGCACAAAUCUGUCAUAUCUUUAACAUUUAUACUUUCUCCUAUCACCAGCAGCCGAAAAGGUCAUUUAUACUUUAACAUUGAUUAAGUUCACUAAGCACAUAAUUUCUAAACGCAAUCCAGCUUGCAUUUUCUAACAGGACAAGCUAAAAAUUACCCCAGAAUGAGAAAAUAAAAAGUGAACAAUCAAAAACUACAAACCAAAAUUAUUUCAAUCAAACAGAAGGUAUAUUCCAUGAAAAUGUAUGUAAGAAGUUAAAAAAAGAAACCCAACGUUCUUACCAAUCUUCAAAAACCGUCCUAAAUCCAAACUCAAAAAAAAAAAAAAAAAUAAGGAGAAAAAAAUACAUAGACAAAAACGCUUGUUCCAACUUCCAAUCAAUAUCAGUACAAUCUUAAUUCACCGAAUACCUGAGAAGAGACAAAUUUUUUUUUUCGGCUAAUUGAUUGAAAUUGGGGACGGAAAUGGGAAGGAAGAGGCGAUCUAAGUCUAACGAGAGCUCCAGCUCCGUCGCCAUUAACAGGAAAGAGGAAAUUAAUAGUAAUAAUUUUACAUCUAUACAUUAUACAACAGGAACGAGGUGAAGAAGUCGAUCUGGCUUUAAUGACAGGAAACAAUCACUUAUUCUACCACCAAGCAUCAUUAUACAGCAACAAAAACAGAGAAUAAGGGAAUAAGAGUGAUGGAUUACCUGUUCGCGAGGCCCUCCACCAAUGGAGCUGAUGAAAUGUCUACCGUAGCUGAGUCUAACGUUGGCCAACAAACUGGGACUCGGAGAGAAAGGGCUCUUCAAUUGAAGGACGGCAGUGGUGGUGGCAGAAGUGGCCAACUGGUGAGUGGUGAAAACAGUGGUAGCGGCGGCUAGGGUUUGCUUUUGAUUUGGGGAAAGAGGAAUGCCGAGUUGCCGACAGCGGAACAGCCGAGUGGGAAGAAGAAAGAGGCGUGUUUGUGUUAGGGGUGUCCGCUGUCUUGGUCCUUAGUCCUUGGAGAAAUUGUAUCUAGUUUCUAGUUUAGUAAUUAGUUAAAUAAGUAGGGGUAUUUAUGUAAUUUUACACGGCUCGCGAGCUCGCGAGGCUCGAACUCGACUCGUAUUAUAAACAAGCUGGCUCGAACUCGAUAUUGACUGAGCUCGAGUCGAGCGUUGACCGAACUGCUCGCGAGCAGUUCGAUUCGUUUGCACCCCUAUUUAUACAUUUAUAAAUAUAUUUAUAUUAUGUAUUAUAUAUAAUAUAAUACAUUUAUAUAUUUUUAUAUAAAUAUAUUUAUUUAUAAAUAUUUAUAAAUAUAUUAUAAAUGUAUAAAUAUAUAUUGUUAUAAAAAUAUAAAAAUUAUAAAUUAUAAAAAUACUCGAAAAUAUGUUUUAAAAAUACAUCAAAAAAUAAUCCGUAAAACAUCUAUAGUAGAAGUUUGGAAUAUAGUUUUUGAAAAAUAAUUCCAAAAACAACUAAUUCAAACGGACUUGUAUUUGAAAAACGAAAUGCUACAGUGCUGUUUUUGAAAAACAACCCUAAAAAUAGCUAAUCCAAGCAGAGUCUAGUCUUUCAAAAAAAAAUGUAAGCGGCUUUUGAGAUUUACAUUAGAUUUGUAAAGUUAUAAAAGUCUUACGAAAGGUUUUGAUAAAAAAAAAGAGUAUAAAAUAUAGGAGAGAGAGAGAGAAGGUGAGUGUCAAAUUCUAUAUAUAUCGAAAUUUUCUUCUAUUAUUCAAAUUAUUAUUUUUUUUUUGACAAACGUAUUAUUCAAAUUAUUAUUUGAUAAUAGGAUUGUUAAUAGGAGUAGAUCAAGUUAAAUUCAGUUUGUGCGACCCGAAAAAAAGAUUACUGAAUCCAAAUCUCAUAUAAUAACAUAAAUUGAGUUUUAAAUUUUUAAUAUAAAUUUAAAGUCUAAAACCCAAAAAUUCAUAUAAUUUAUGAGGUGAGUUUGAGUUCACUAAGGCUGGAUUCAAAAAGUCAAUUGAUAAUUUGAUAUCAAUGUCAAUUUUAAAUAUGAUGGAUUGUUAAAGAAUUCCCCAAUCCACCCACUACAACUAUGGAGAAUUUUUUUUUUUUUAAGAAAAAGAAAAUUAUAUAGGGCAAUUACCGGAUAACCAUCUUGUUCCAGGGCUUCUACAAAAUCCCAACCCAACACUUGGCGCCUUAAAAUUUUCGGACCUGGAAGAAACCGCCUAGCUAGCUUACUAGCUCAUGACAUUUGCCCUCUCGGGUACGAACACUCUCUCUCACACACUGGCACACUCAUUAAUCACACACAGUAAUCGCAAUGGGUAAUCGGAGGUUCACUCAGAUGCCGCCGAGCGAUGACGAGGACGACGGGCCACCGCCACCACCUCCGCCGCCGCGGCGGAGCUCAGCGAACGGUGACGAGGAGAAAACGAACCAAAGGAAGCGGAAGAAAAUGAAGCUCGUCGACGAAGAAGAAGAUGAAGAAAAGCAAGUGAAGGAAGACAGUGUCAGAGAUAGGAAGAAGCAAAAGAAAGUGAUCAAAGAAGAAGAAGCAACUGCGGCUGAGCCUAGCGGUGAUGAGGAGGAGGCUCCUCAGGAGGACGCCAAGCCAAUUGGCGAUGUAAUUAGGGCUUCGGGAAAAGGAAGAGGGAGGAGGAAUCACUAUGAGGCCUUCGAAUAUGAUGGAAUGCGAUAUGAUUUGGUAAAUAUUAAUUCGAAAUUCUCGUUAAUUGGAUUCAUUUCUUGGGUAAUACUUAUGCUCAUAAGUAAGCAUUUCAAACAAUAUCAUUGCUGAAUUGUAUGCAACUUUGUUGAAUACUUUUAGAAAUUAGUUGUAAUUGUAAGCUUCGACCCAUUAAUUAGAAGUUGAGGCUAAAAAAGGGUUAUUUUGUGCAGAACAAGAACUAGAGUUCAUACAAGCCAUGUUAAAUGAAACUAAUAAGCACGAAAAAUACAAAGUAAGGUUCCUGCUACGGUUAUGCCUGUAUAUUCGUGGUACAUGUGAAGGGUUAGAGAGGGAGAAAGAGCCUAUCUUAUGCUCUUUUUUUUUUUUUGGUUCCCUACAAAUGAUGUGAGAAUUCUCUUACUCUAGAUUUCAAAUAACUUCAGGAGGAAUUAGUUGAAAUCUGUUGCUAUAUAGCUGAAACUCAUGUAGGGUGGAUUUAAAGUCCUUUAUGCCCGGUUCAUCCACCCAAUGAAAAUUUUCCGGGUCAAGCUGUUAUAUGUAUCUUUGGAGCUUUGAAUCAGGGACUCAGAGUCCUGUGUGUAUUGGACGAAGGGGAACCUGCAAAUGUAGUAUUAGGAGGAUCUUUUGAUAGGUAAAAUCUGACCAUGAGAGGAGACAAGGAAGACUAUGUAUGGGGCAUGAAAUUCUAGGCUUUCUGUUUCUACCAUUUUAAUUGAAAGUAAAUCUUUUAUAGUGCAAAUGAUCCUUAGCUGGCAUGGUGUAACGAAUGUCAAUUAUGGCAACCUUUUUCUAAGUGGUCAUUUGAGCAUCACAUGAGCAUCUUGUUGUAGAUACUGCUGUUUGCAUGUGCCCAUUUGGUGGCUGUGAAAUCAUUUGGAACUCGUUUGAUGCUUCUGUUGUUGCUUUUACUUUACCACACUUGAUUGAUGACCACAAUAAUAUUUACCUUCCUAGAACUCCUUUUUCUUGAUAAAGGUUGUGAAUUCUAUACUGAUUUGGUGUGGGAGGCAAAACAAUUGGAUAUAUUAUCCAUAUGAAAGUUUAUACAUCUUAAAAUGCUGAAAGCAUCUGUUAGUCAAGCCUACUUAUUUUAGUAGACUUUGGGCAUGUACCAGGUUUCUGGCUCCUACUGAGCUAAAAGUUAUUUUGAGUUUAUCUUAAAUGCACAUGGCUUUUGCUAUGCGCUUAAUGUAAGCUGAAGAAGCUGGACUGGAAAUACGGCCCCUGAGGUGGUUGCAGAAACACUUGUUGGCUUCUUUGGAACUUUUAAACCAAAAGCAUGUUUUCAACCGUUAAAAAGCUUAUUUGAUGAAUACUUUCUUUAAAAAGCUUUAAAAAGCUGAAGAAUUUCGGAUGAGGCUCUGUUUUUGAUGUAAAAAGCUUAUUUGAUGAAUACUUUGUCAAUAAGCUGAAGUCUAAAAGAUUCAUUAGAAUUUACAGCUUUUAGGAAAAUAUCUGAAUAUGUAUGAAGAUUUUUUGCUAUGCUCUUCCUGAUAAUGAAGAAGAAGAGAGAGAAGCGAAGUGGACAAAAAUGUAUAUUGCAAGAAAUUAUUAACAUGUAUCACAUCUGAUCUAUUUCUGUUUUGUAUCCAAACAUAUUCCUGUGUUGAGAUGCAAGCAAUCAAUUACAGUAAAAUAAAAUUUUAUAAAAAGUAGUCAUAUGAAGAAUGUUUGAGAUCUUGAUCAGGAAUUCUGUGUUUCAUUACAUGAUGGUCAAUAUAUCUGCCCCUUUUAGAAGCAAUUACUAGUAAAAUAGUUUCUGUAGAUAUAUUUCCAUGUCUAACUUGCUUUAGUUUUCUAUCUUUGAUUUUGCGAUAGGAGGAUCCUCUGCUCUUAGUGCCUGAGGAAGCAAAUCAGAAGCCUUAUGUGGCCAUUAUCAAGGUAUGUGUGAAUUGUCAUAAAUCCUGUUGCACAAGCUGAACAUGAAGACUGAAGAUUAUAUACCCAUUCUAUAUUUUUGAGGAUAUUUCUAUUUUAAACUGCAAGUGUGCAGUAAUGUGAAGAAAUUAUGAAGAAGAAUGAAAGACAUAUAUAACAAGUAUUUUUCAUGGUUUUGCUCGUCCUCUUGCCAUUCUUUCUAUUUCCCAGUGGGGGUUAUAUUCCAGUGGACUUUUUUGUUUAGCUAAUGAGCUGUCUCAUAGGCUUCUUUGGUGGUGGAUCAUUUUGUUGGUCUAUUGGGCUUUGAAACUAUAGAAUUGUUGAAUAGACUCCUUAAUGUACCUUACGACUUCCUGAGUUUUCUGUCCUGCACAUUGCUUCAAUAACGGUUGUCAAAGGCUGAUUGUUGAAAUGGUUUUGCUAUAUUCAAUGCUGUUUUCAGUUUUUUCUUUUUCCCUAAAGAUUAUCUAUAUUGGUUGUCUAGAGCAUUUACCUGGUCCCUUAGUGGCAUACACACUUUAUAGGUGAAAGGCCUAAUGCGUUGUUGUUAGUUGGUUUUUGUGCAAAUGAUUGUAUUAUACUGGAGUACGUUGAUACUGGUUUUUCGGCAUCAGUAGCUUGGCAAAUUUGCAGAGAAUGUUUCCAGUUGUGUAGAAUUGGUAUUUUUUCAGUUGUGGCAAAUUUGCUUCUGUUUUCAGGACAUUUCUCAGACAAGAAAUGGCAGCUUGAUGGUCACUGGGCAAUGGUUUUAUCGCCCUGAAGAGGCAGAAAAGAAAAGUGGUGGUAAUUGGCAAUCCACUGAUACGCGAGAGCUGUUUUAUAGUUUUCACCGGGAUGAGGUCCCAGCAGAAUCUGUCAUGCACAAGUGUGUGGUGCAUUUUAUACCUCUGAACAAGCAGAUUCCCCCACGGAAGCAACAUCCAGGUUUCAUAGUGCAAAGGGUAUACGACACUGAACAAAGAAGGCUUUUCAAGCUUACAGAUAAAGAUUAUGAAGACAACAAACAGGAAGAGAUUGAUCUCCUUGUUCAGAAGACAAUGUCACGCUUGGGAGAUCUUCCUGACAUCGAGCCAGAGGAGGCAGCUACUGAUCAGGAACAUCAGUUGAGAAACAAGAGACUGUUGAGGAAGAAGAGCAUGACUCAGUUGGAUGUUUCCCGAGAGGAUGAAGCAUCUACAAGAUCUGGGCAGUCUUUUAAAGCUGAGACUCCAGGAAGUUGUGCUAGUAAUGCAUCAGAAUAUUACACCAUUCUUUCAAGCUUAAAGGCCCUGACUGGUGAAACACAGUGGGACAAGUGGUUGGAAAGGCUGCUUCAAUCGAUUCAGUUUAUAUGCACUGCCGCUGAUGGGGGGCCGGGUGAUGGAAAGGGGCUACCAGCUCCUGCAAAUCGAAAUGAGGUCAAGAAUCUUAAUGUAAUGGCCAGCUUCUCUUUCAUCAGCUUUUCUAAGAGUAAUUUGACACCUCAUAUCGUGAUGGUUCUUCACUACUACUAUAGUUGAUCUACAAGAAUCUGCAAAUUGGCACUGGAUGAUCUUUUCUAUUAUAUAAUUGUUUAAUUUAAUUUUAUAUGUUUAGAGUGGUUUGCCUUUUCACUGGCCGGACAGCGCUGUUUCUGCUAUAGCUGCUCUUGAAAAGGCUUCUCAUGAAGCUUUAUCCUCAGACUUUCAGAAGUAUAACCAAAAGAUGCGGCAAUUGGCUUUCAAUCUUAAGGUGAACAGUAUCUGUAUCUGUCAUGUGUUUGAUGAUUUAUUUUAUUCUUUAAGGUCUGUUUUCGUGAGAUGGGAUGAAAAUUGGAUUGUGGGUGAACUUAAUAUCCUGAAGUUUCAUGUUUCAGUGUUGUGAUGAUGAUGUCUUUCCUUUUCUAAAUAAAAGAUAAGGAAACCAUUCUUUGUGGUCUUUUGAUUCCUGAAGCUAUCAUUCUUCCCAUCUUCUGAUUCUCUUGGGGGCUUUUUCUUCAAUUCUGAACCAUUUGCAGAACAAUGCAGUUUUAGCAGGAUGACUUCUGAAGGGAGAGUUGGAGCCUUCACAAAUAUUGAGCAUGACACCUAAUGAGUUAAAGGUAUAGCUGUUACUUUUUUUCAUGAUCUAUAAUUUCCGGAUGAUUCUCCUUUAAUCGUUCAUUCUAUUGGAUGAAUAAAUUGUUCUCUUCAGUGAUUCCUGUGUCGGCAAUCUUCGUAUUACACUUAGAUUCAUUCUAUAUUCUUGUACACGAAUAUGCAUCAUUUUUUAUUCGUAUAAUACAAUGCAUAAAUGGUGCAUGGUCCAGUUGUAUCCAUGACAUUAUGUACAGCUGGUCUAGUUUUCCUAACAUGGCUUUUUACUCCUGAUUUUGUAAUACUAGAUAAUUGCUAUCAGCAAUAUUUUUACCUUGUUAGCCUUUUCUUUUAUGCUUCAGGAGGGUUUGACAGCAGAGGAGAUAGCGAGUAGGAAGCCUGAGGAGUCAGAACACAGGCAGGUAAUCAUCUCGAUUUGUGGAUUUUCUGGAGAUUAACUCUUUAGUUUUGGAAGGAUAACUAAUAAAAACUUGCAUUGUGUAGAGAUAACUUUUUGAAAACUUGUUUUCAGUCACAUAGAGCCAGCAAUUUUCUCUUAUUUCGUGGAAUAUCAUCUGGAAUUUUGUCUAUAUGCCUGUAAAAAUUUCAGCCGUCUACCUUGGAACGAUGGAGUUUAUUAUUAUUAUUUGGCUGGAGCCAUGGAGAUUUAAAUGGACUAUAUGGGAAUUAGUUCUGGCUAUAGUUGUAUCCAUGAGAUUGACCUGACAAUACAGUAGUAGGUUUUCAUGGCUCCAUCGUGUUAGAAUUGUUAUUAUCUUUUUAAAAACGUUUCUGCGAUAUUUCUGGUGAGGAUAUUACUUUCUCUUUUUUUAGGCUAAAGGAUGUACAAGUGUUGUUAACGCUGUGAUUUGGCUUAUGAUACAGAUGACAGAUGCUCGCUGCAAAAGGUGCAUGGAGAAGAAAGUGGUUCUUAUAGAUAUAAUUCAGACUGGCCAUGGAGAUCGUUAUCAGGUUUGCACUCAUACGCAUUGAACUUGUUUCUCGAUUACCUUGCCUUGUAUGAAUGCAAGCAUAUUAUCUGCCAUAGUUCAUGUUAUUUUUUACUUAAUCCAGAUGCAAGAUAUACUUUAUCUUUCACUCUCUUUAGCUUGCUCACUCCUGGAUGUCCACUUGUUAAGUUGUACCAAUGUGCUAAUAUCUAUUUCUUCUUCUUUUUUUUCAAUCCCAAUUUCUCAUAAUUUUUCUGGGGUUUUUUUUGUUUUGUUGGUUUUAUCUUUUUCCCUUUUUCUUUUUGCCUCUUCUCUCUUUUGGUUAAUGGGAAAUUUUUUUUUUUUUUUGGGGGCUGAUCUUAAAGAGUAUGGUUGGCUGAUGUUUGUGUUACUUGAUGUUGAUGCUUAGAGUUAGAGGCGUUUAUUUUCCACAACAUACUGAGAAAUUGAGAAGUGUAUGGUUUCUUGCAGCAAUGAGAGUAAGUUUUUCGAUACUGCGCUUCAUCCCUAGGUUAUGUAGAAAGGAGUCAGUUUUGAGGAUGAGCCUGCUGUCAACUUAUACAUCGUACCCCACUUGUUUUUUUUUUUUUUUUGGGGUUUUCCCUUUUCUGGGCGGUGUGGAGUUUCCAUUGACUUCAUAUUUUCCCCCAUCCGGUCUUGGUGAAAUUUUCAGCUGGAGUGCAAUGCUUGUGGCAACAACUGGUAUGCUUCAAGUGAUGAAGUAUCUACGUUGACGAUAGAUGAGCCAAGUUCUGCGAGGACUGUUGGAACCGUACCUUUGGCGACUGCCAAGUUCGAAGAUGUGGAAAAGAAGUUGGUUAGUCCUCGUAGACAUGACAAGUCAGCAGAUGAUGGGUUUAAGAAGACGAGUGAAGCUUUUGUGGCCGUGCUGGACAGCCAGAAAUAGUCAUGGAAGCCUGCCUAAAAGUAUAUAUAAAUUAUUACUGUAUGAUACUACUAAAUACUAAUGGUGGCAUGGUGCUACGAGUCAUGUUCUCUCGAAUUUUUAGGGAUUUUACUUGUCUAUGGCGUUAGAGACUAGUUUGGAUGGGUAAUCAUGCCUAGGUGUAGUGUAUAGACAUAGCAAAUGUAAAACGCGGGAACCUUUGCAUGGUGGAGCUUUAGGCUUUUAUAGGAGGAUGUUUGUCUAGUGAGUAAAUCCAUAGGUGAGAGCUUUGGUUAUUGUUUAUGGAAGAAGUUUGGUUUACAAAGUGGGCAGCGUGUUUUUAUCUAUGCUACUUUUCCCCUUUUGUUGUCUGUUUGUUGUUUUUCUGUUGUCUGCGAGCAAAAUAACCUACGAACGUGUUUAGAAGUGGCAAGCAAGGAAAUGGCAAAAAAUGAUCAUUAAACAAUUCAACGUUUCUUGUUUUAAUCAGUAGACUAGCAAAAACGAUCAUUCAACUAAAUAAAACAACAUAUAUUUUGUAUACUUUUACAUUUUAUUAAUUGAAUGAAUGACCAAGACAAGAAUGAACUUCUUAGUUUAGCGACCAAAGUAUCGAAUCCGAAGUACUUCAACGACCAUUCUUUUGUAGUUUGCUCUACUAGUACUCAAUAUGGAUGGAGGCCCGAGAAAAGUCAGACUGGAAGAAACUGGAAUAAAGAAAUCGGCUUUAUCUAGAACAUGAUCACUACUUUUCUUCACCUGCCAUAUGACAUAUACGUAUCUGCACGAAGACUGAGAAUAGUUUGUCCAGCAUAUUUCGUCGCUAUCCAACACCAUUCCUCUUCAGCAACCUAGAAGCAGUAGUAUAUUUUUUGUUGGCACAUGUCCCUGUUGCAUAUAUUUUUGUUGUCCACAUCUAAUCAAUUUACGUUGUCUAUUGCUAUCACGUACUUGGCAGCUAUGACGAAUAUCCCAUCGGGACAGGUUUGACUCUCUGGUCCUGGAAGAUGAGCUAUGAGCUAUGAAUCUAGAUGGUCAAUCUUCCCCUGCUAAAUAAACAUCUCUCCUCCAUAUUAAACUAAACCCUUUUCUUUUCCGCUAAAAUUAAAAAAAAAAAAGAAAGAAAAUUGCUUUCUACCAAUUUGUAUUCAUAAGAACUCGAAUUCAUUCAUACUUGCUCAUCUUACCAUAAAAACGAAUGGAAUACAUAGAAUAUAUAGACUCGUGGAACUCAGAUUUCUUUUGGAUUCAUUGUGGCAAAAUGUUUCGUUCGUGAUUCUUCCAUAUGUGCAAUUAGCAAUUGCUCAUUGAACAGAUUGAGAUAACCUUGGAUAAACAGAGAAAUGCUCAAAUAUAGUUGUGGCAUCCCUCAAUUACCUAUGUAACAACCACCAGGCAAAACAAAAGGGAAAAAUAAAAAAUAAAAAUAGACACAAAAGAAAAAGAACUAAAAAAAAAAAAGAAAAAGAAAAAACCAACAACAACAACAACACUGGUCAUGAUGGAUCUCUCAGAAGAUGAAGAAGUUUUUUUUCUUCUUGUAAUUAUUGCAUGAAAUUCUUACAUAGAGACUAGGUUGUGUAACAUGAAGAUUUUGAUCGAAAGAAACUUUGUGCUUUGAUCGUGAUUGCACAGACAUGAACGGUUCUGUUCUUCAACGUGUCAAAAAACAAAUACAAUAUCUAUCUAUACAAGAAAAAGAAAAGAAAAGAAAAGAAAUCGAUAUCUGCAGCUGUGAUCAAAAUUCACUUGUGAGAUAAUCCAAAUCCAUUAGCAAGUGCAUGAACUGCAGGAUUGAAUGCAAGUCUUCCCAAAAUCCCCUGCUUGUAAGGCAAGAAGGUCUUCUUCUUCAGAUCUUCGGAAACUGCUUUGUUAACAGUAUAAUGCAAUUCGUGAGCAGAAACAGGACUCCUCCUCCUUGAUGGAACCAACCCAGAAGGGCUAUCAAUACUCCUCAUGCUCGAAGUCCUCACAUCUUCACGUCUCCUGACUGCAGCUGUAUAUUUUUUCAGAGGAUCUUUGUCGGCUGCUCUGCCUUCUGAUGCGCUUCGGAAUAAGAAAAAGUCUUUGAAUUUCCAUCUCUUGUACCCUUUUGAAAAUGAAGCCAAAGCUGAAGAGGCAAAGUUAGAUGCACUUUUGGCAAUGAUUGAUGACUCGCUUCUAUUCUGCUGCUGGCUGCUCUGCUCUUCUUGUUCCCAAGGAUACCGAGAAACCCUUAAAGGAGAGAGCGAUCUUGUUCCUCUUCGGCUCGAUGAUUUCAUCCCUGCAGGAGCUCUUUCCCUUCCUCUAUCGGCCCUCGGCGAUCUUUGACCCGUUGUUUUGGGUGAAUGACUAAAAGGGGUGGAGGAUUCUCUCUUGUACCUCGGCGAGAACCCCAACACAAUCUUCUUGCGCUGUGAUGCCGAUGCUGGCGAUGUUGGGGAUAGAUUAAUUGAGCUUGAGCCACUGAUUCUUGCUGCAGAAGGAAGUUGUAGUCCAGGCGGAGGCUUGAAAGGCUUAAUUACUCCGCCAUCAAACAGUUCUUCAGCUGACAGAGAUGCUGUUUCCAAAUCAUCAAGACCAACAUGAAAAGCAAAAUCAUCAUCAUGUUUUGUGGCGGCGGCCUUGGGUGAUUUUGGGGUACCAGGCUUUUCUUCCCAGUCAAAAGGCACGGCCGCUUCUGAAUAAGAGCCUUCUCCAUUGCUGAUAUUCUCGUUGAUCCUCAGGAAUUCAUCAAACUCCCGGUAAAACUGGGAGAGCCGAGAUGGGCUGGCAGGAGCACUGCAGUAGACAUCUCCAAAAGCCUUUGGGGUACGAGGACUGCUGGAAUGAUGCAUUGGAGAAGAACGAGCACUAUUGAAAUCAAAAUCCAUGUUUUGAUGAAUUGGCACCACAAUUUCCAUCUUCUCCACAAACUUCGCCGACACUUUCGGCUGUUUAGGAGUCUGCUGUGGAAAAUAGCAAAGCAAAAGUACUAGCAGAGGCAGAUGCCUAACAACUCCUUUGGUUCAGCUAUAAGAAGGAAGUUGCAGCUUACAAGUAGUAUUGGAAUAGUAGUGGUAGCAGGAAAGAAGAGAGAAAGAGCAGCCAGAUAUUAUUGACUCGAAGAGGUGUAAGAGGAGGAAGAAGAAGAAGAAGCCGCCGCCAUUUAUUACUUUUGUGGUCGGAUGAUUCCUUGUCACCUUCUCCUAUUUAUCGACUUCGAUGCUCAGCUCCAAGUGUUUUAAUUUUGCGCGACAAGCAUUAAUGGCCCCGCAAAGUACAAAUUUUCCUUCAAGUAUAAGGAUAAUGGUUGUUAAAAAAUAUAUUACCAAAGCCACGACAUGCGUAAUGAAUUAAUUUCAUAAAGCGUUAAUUUUCAUCCUGAUAUCACUUGAUACAAUACACCCAAAAAUCAAACUUACCGCCCCCUAUCAAUAUGAUGUGUUUAGAUGUCCCGAGACAUUGAAACUACAAAGUUACCUCCAAUAUCUUCCUACUUUUUUUAGGUAGCAAAAGGUUGGGAAAAUAUUUAAAAAAUACAAGCUAAAAUAUCUAAAAACAAAUAAUAAGAAUGCCAUCUAAAAUAUUUUUCUCCUUCUUUAAUCUUUGCUUGUAUUUUUAAUGUUCGUCGUUGCCAUAACCGGUCUCAUAAAAUUUUCAUUCUAAUUUCCCUCUUCGUGGCAAAACUUUCGUGUUUCUUUGCUCUUAAUUUCCUCCUUGUUUGUUGUGACCAAUCUCUUGAAACUUUUGCCUUUUUAUAAUGUUUAAUUUCGUCCUUGUUCCUAUUUAUUGCAGUUACACCUUCUUAUAUUAUAAAUUUAAUAUUCCACCUUAUUGGUCUUUUUUUCAUAUUUCAAAAUUCACAAAUCAAAUUGCAUGAGGAUAAAAGUGGAAGGAUAACAUAAUCUCUCUCCUCCAAUGCUUUUUUUUUUUUUUCAAUAUUACUUUUAUACGUAAGGGGUGACAAUGUUACACAAAUUAUCAUUCAAGGGGAGCCAUAUGAAAUUUCUGAAACUUUAAGGGUGCUAGGUGAUAUUAUGAUAAAUCUCAGGGAGGUUCCUGAUAUUAACGCUUUCAUAGAUGGGAGUAGUUUUCUUAUUACGGAAUAACCUUUGAAUCAAUGGGGCAUGCAUGUCCCUCGAGGACCAAUGCUUGAUGUCACGUUUGCCUGGCCUCUACCCCCAAAGAUGAAAGUCCUGAAAUUAUAAAAUUAAGGAGGCAAUUUCACACGAUCAACAAAACGGGUUAAUGUCCCUAUUAGUUCGUCAGGUUGGAUUUUUGGAAACGAUUCUCUUCAUUUUUAAUCUUGUACUUGCCCAAUUUCAAUACUAUAGUUUUGCCUGAACCAAAUUAUCUCAUUAACAAAUAAAAUUUGCGGAAGAAAUCUCGGACUAGAUUGAUUGAAAUGGUAUCAUAUUUUAUAAAUUUUCAAACUCUUUUUAUUCUUUUUCGCUUUGAAUCAGUGCUUGUAUUUUCUUCUGGGGCACUCAAGAUAAUAGUUGACAAUUGAAUAGUAAAUUCCUCUGGAUAACAAUAUUGAUUUUUUUUUUUUUUUGUAGCUGUAAUCAACCCAUUUAAAUGGAAUUGAUGAUGGGGAACUUCACCGUUGACAUUGCUAUUAUAUUUGGCUUGAGUAAACGGCAUGAAAAAUUGAAGAGAACGUAGAAUAAGAAGAUGACCCCAAUUGAUAGGUAAAAUAUUUGUAUAAAAUCUGACACUCCAGUUUCUAGAUGCAGCCAGGGAUCAAUUACUUGGACAAAAUUGACAGCAAAAGGCCAGAAAGGAGAUUGAGUCGCCUAAAACGUGGGAUAUUAAUUAGGCAUUAGUUGGAAUAAGAGGACCUUCAAACAGUGCUGUUUUACUCGAAUGACAAACUUGUGUUUUAUGCAUGCCACGAAUGCAUUUGCUCCCUGAGUUAAUAAAGUGUAAAAAGCAACUUCCUAUUUUCAAUGAUACGACUUUCACUCCUCUUUUUCCUUCUUUCUUUUGACAAAUAGUGAUUCAAAAGCGAACCGGUGGCGGUAUUAUUGACAAAAUGGAGUGCUAGCCCUGCCACAGACUACCAUGUGAGAUUGAAGGAACAUAUUAAUAAUGCUCCAAGUUUAUACUUUACAUGAUCUAAUUUUGAAAAGAAACCCACAGUUAGAGCUGUUAAUCGAAUCGAGUAGCUCGCGAGCCGAACUCGACCCGGUUCGAUAAGGGCUCGACUCGGCUCGUUUAUUGAGAGAAACGAGCCGAGCUCGAGUUCAACUUGAUGCUCGUUUAAUAGACGAGCCGAGCUAUGCUCGACUCGUUUAAGCUCGAUAGGCUCGAAUAGUAGGGGUAUUAGCGUAAUUUCAUUGUGUAUUUGAUACUCUACAGGCUCGAUAGACUCGACAGGCUCGAGUUCGAACUCGAAACUACUAUAAAUAGUAGGAGUAUUAGCGUCAUUUUUAUUGCGUAUUUGAUACUCGACAGGCUCAAGUUCGAGCUCGAUAAGCUCGACUCGAUUUUGAACUCGAGUUUGAGUUCGAGCUCGAGUUUUCUAUCGAUCACAUCGAGUCGAUCUCGAAUAGUUUGUGAAACUCUAAUUACUAAUCGAGCGAGCUCGAGCUGGCUCGAUUAGGGGUUCGAGUCGAGCUCGAUUAUCACGUGCUCGAGCUCGGCUCGGCUCGUUAACAGCUAUACCCACAGUGUGAGUUAAUUGUUAUGAAUCCAUUUCAUUUACAUAUGUUAUGAAACAUAAUCAUUCAAUCAUAAAUCUAUUCAUUUCUCUUUUUGAUAAAACAUAAGUCAAUAGUAUUAAUAAUCUAACUAGAAAUCGUCCAUCACGAUUUGCUCGGCAAAGUAAUCCGCACCAAUGACAGAAAAUACAUUGAACAUGUCACAGAUAUAUUUGAUUUAAAAAAUUACAAGAUUUAAUAGAGUUACAAAACAUAAAAAAAUUACACAGUGAUCGCAAAUCAUCGAAUCUGACCAAUUGAACGAACUGCCCAUAGAUGUCUGUGCAUGUCUAUUCUCUUACACCUACUAUCCAACUCGCCAUAAAUCUAUUCAUACUUGUUAUAAAUUGUAGACUCCAGUCAAAAAAAUACCGCUAUUUACAUUGUUUUCGAGACAUCUCGCGCGCAUUUUCCAUCUAUCUCUUCAUCUAGAAAUACACAUCCAUCCAAGAAGGCGUUAUUGUGACAUCUUUUGCAUGCAUCUAAUGUAUGGUCCACGAGCAAAGUCUUGCAUUGUUCGUCUACAGUGGCUCCAUCUGGCAGCGCAGUAGAUGAAGCAAUAACUUCCGAAAUAGACUCAGCUUUCGGCGCAGCUUUUGGACAGAUGCGUUGCAGUCCCAGAACGCAAACCGUUCUCUUCUUUCACAUAUGGCGGUGGUUGCUGCCUGGUUAGGCUUAGCUAAAUUGAAGGAAGUUGCACGAUCUCGUUUCUUUUUUUUUUUCCUUAGUGCACCCUUAGCCAUGAAAAUGAAAUCAAAUUAAACAGGUAGAUGCCCUAAACUAUUGAUGCCUACAGUUGAAAUAUAGAAUUACCCGUCAGGCUAACUUUGUAUUUUCUCUAGAGAGAAGAGUACAAGAUUUUCUCAUAGACUACUGGUCGAUAUUGGUAAUAUAUACUUUAAAUUCAGCGGAAUUUAAUACUAGUAAUAUAUUUCCAAUUAUUUGUCUAUAUUGGUCGGGUUCAUAUAAGGUUUUAUAUAUUUAAUCAUCAAAUUGCAGCUCUUUUUUUUUUUCUUUUUUUGAGAAUUUAUUACUUUGACAAGAAGAUGAUUCUGUAAUAGGGUUGAUCGUUCUUGCCAAGGUUAAGAUUCCAAAGUUUUCUGUCUAUUCUUCAGCUGGUGCAAUAAUCGGCUCAACGGCGUAGCUUAGCUGAAGAAAAUUUGCUUGAACACCUUCCAAUAUUUUCCAGAAAGUGUUAGUUACCAAUUUGUAGGUGAUGAUUUCGAAAGCAACCGACAACUACCAUUUUCCUUCACGUACAAGACAGGGUCCUAUGAUCCACGUACAGCAAAUACGAUAGCAUGCAGUGGAAUCUGGGACGAAAAACUUGCUGCUAAUGCAUAUGGUUGUAUAGCCGGCAAUUUUUCAUCAAAAUAAGAGUUGUGUCAUUUUCGUUGUCCAUGAUAAUAUGUCCUUAGCAUUGGUUGGUGGCCUACUCAACGGUUAUUCAUCCGGGGUACUUCAUCGUUUGCGUUGUCUCAAGUGAACCGCCAUGUUCUAAUUUGGCAGCUACUAUUUACCGGGAAGGAGAAGACAGUUCGUUAGAAAAAGAAGAAGAAGAAAAAACCCGUCUAGCUUAAUAUCAACCUAUGGCAAGAAAAUUGCGCAAUUCACUAUCCAAUUUCGAUUUUGCCAAGCGUUAAUCGUGCAGAAUUCUUUCUAACAAAUUAGAUGAUGACGAUGGUAAUGGAGAUCGGCUAUUAAAAGAAAAAGAAGAAAAAUAGUAAAAGAUUUUCCUAAAUUCUUAGAAGAUAAGCUUCAAAAAAAAAUAGGCAAUAUCUUGAGUUUGCAAUAAGGUUACAAACGAGCUGAAUCGAAUUGAAUUUUAACCUAAUUCAGUCGACUUAAUUUCACUAAACUCGAGCACAAGUUCAAACUCAACGAACUCUCAAUGUAAAACUUGGGUUCGAGUUGAGUCGAACUCGAGUUCGAGUUUAAAAAAUAAAAAAUUAUUAUUUUAUUUUUUAAAAAAAUGGAUAAAUAGUAAUUUUACUUAACAAAUUAUAAAAUAUUAUAAAUUUAUAUGUAAUUUCACUAUUAAAAUAAAAGCUAAUAUAUAUACAUAUAUAAUCGAACCGAUUCACGAGUUAACGAGUUAAGUAUCUUUAAAUUCAAGUUCGACCUUAAACUUUGAUUUAAUCAGCUCGAACUCGACUCGAGUUGAUCGAACUCGAGUUGAGUUUUGACUCAAACUGCUCGCGAUUGGCUCGACUCGUAUGUAGCCUAGUUUGCAGUUAGCCAGCAGCAAUAAAGUGAAUAUUUUAUGUUUGACUACAAGAGACAAAAUGGAGCCAUCACGUUUAGCUUUUAUAUUUGCCACUGAUUCAUUCUUAUCUCUCUUCCAGUUUGAUUAUAUUCUUCCCAAAAGGGGUGUGAACAACCAAAAUUCAUAAUAAAAACUAUUGGUAUUGUCUUUUUACAUAGGGAUCUCAAGGUAGCGAGCGACUUGUAAUCCUCGUGCCAUCCAUUUUGUUUCUUUUUAUUUAUUUAUUUAUUUAAUUGGUUGGAACCUCAGACAGCGAAUUAAACUAAUUGUAUUUGAUUAGUUCCAACGGGUAAUCUUAGGGAGACUGCUGCGUUGUGGGCUUGUGGCACACGGGAGACGACCGUCUAGAAGGACAUGUUGAUGACUGCAGAUUUCUGAAUAUUCUUGGAUGAACUUAUUCACCAGAAACGUAGUUCUAAAGCUGCUAACAACACUCCUACUGGGGAGUACUAUGUUGGGAGUUUUUGGUAGAGACUAGGAAAAUUCUGUCCAAUUUACGUGCUACUUACGACUAAGCAUUGUUAAUACUAUGUAUCAACUUAGCAGAAGCCUAAAUUGGACAGAGCUUUGGCGGAUUAAACAUGGAAUGGUAGUGGCAAUUAAAAUUGUUAAUCAAAAUUAAGAUGAAUGCUUUGCAACUCUUGCUUAGCAUCAACGAAACACCGUGUUCUUACGACAUAAAUUCCAUUACCAGCAUUUUUUUUUCCCCUUAAAGAAAGAAUUGAAUGAGCCUUGCGAAAAAGAGACGAUAUAAGAGUAAUAAAGUAUGUCAUGAUCACCUGAUUAAUAUUCUGACAAGUUGAAAAGCAUCAUGGAUUGGAGACAACACCAGCUCAUUCCAAAUUUCUGCGAAAGAGUAACCACACCCUUAAAAUAUCUGAUUCGUCUGCAAGAAGAAUCAGUAAAACAAGAAGAAGAAUUUUAAGCUUCAAUUUCCUCGAGGAUGAUAUUCCUUUUGCAGAAAGUGCUUCGUGACAACAAACGAACUGUACUGCAUCAUCAUCACUGUGAUCUUCUGGGUCGGUGCCAUUUCCCCUUUCAUGCAAGUUCAAUUUGUAGUCUAGCGCACGAUGAUGGUAUGGGAUUUUCUUUUGAAACCGGAAAUUUAUCCAUUUGGUUGAUGCUGAUACGUCCUGACAUUUUUUAUGACAGUGACACAAAAAUAGUUGUUGCAUGUAGCUUGGAACCGUUCUGGAACGUUGAUGGCCAAGAUUUGACUCCAAAAAAAAAAAUGUAAGAUUCAGAUUUCAUCUUGCACAUAAUUUUUUACACUAUGUGUGGAAUCCACAAAAUUUUAUUCUAUAGUUAUACGCUGUGUAAAAUGAGUUACAUCGUGUGUAAAUUAAAUUAAAUCUUGUGCAAAAUGCACAAAAUCGCUUCGGACGAUUUUUCUGUUAACUGUUCCUGCCCUCGUCCAGCUGGCUUGGUCUCGAAAAAGCAUUCUCGUCUUCUCAUACUAACUUCUUGCAUCAGGUUUAGCAGUAAGGGACUGAUAUUGGUACGUACCCUUGGAGAUUGUUUCUUUAAAGAGCAAGCUACAAAAAUUACAAAUCGAAAGAGAGCAAAAAGGAAUAGAAUUCAGAGUUCUAAAGUCUUUGCGUAUUCUAAACUUCAAAUUCAAAAGAAAUACCUAAGGAAAGGCAGGUUCGUUGUAGCACAGCACUUGUCGGACCACGAAUUGAUUUUGAUCAAAUACUUUUUAAGUCUAAAACAAAGAGAACGAAACAUAAACUUUUUAAGUGUGUUGCAGAGAAAGUUGUAACUGCAUCAUGGCACAAGGAACUGGUUGAUUUCUCAUAUUUCUUAACCUUUCUUUUUCGGAAAAGAUUAUAGUGAGGGUUGGACUUUUUAAUGUUACCCAGUUUCAUUGAUUUUUUUUUUUUUUUUUUUUUUUUUGAGACUGCACCAACAGAAUGCCAUAAUACUAUGAUGAAUGCAAACGACUCGUGGGCCGUCUCUCCGUGGUUUCAGAUUUUCAAAGCCCAUUUUCUUUGGGCUCUAAAGUUGAUCUGCUUUCUCGUGGCGGUCACCAAGUCAUUGCGAAGAUCCAGUUAGUUGCAAUGCUUUGCGCGACGAAAAUCUUCAGUGGGCUACACCCAAAUGUGCAGGCUGGCCGCUCCUGAAAUGAAUCUACACGUGACUUGACUUGCCCCUCCAAAAGCUUGAAGCCUAGUUUCCCCAAAAUAAAAGAACAACUUACUAAUUUUUUGGUUGAAGACCAAGGGACUCGUUAAAAUAGAUUUUGCUUCUUUUCUUUUCAAUUUUUUUAGGAAACUUUUUUUUUUAAGCUUUUCUUCAGGAAACUUUUCAUAAAUGAACUGUACUAGUACAGGCAAGGUUACUCCUUUUCUAUUUUAAUUUCUUUUAGUAAGGAAAGAAUAAAACUUAAGAAUAAGUAGAGGAGAGGAGGAUUAAAACUUAGGAUCUAAAUGCUAAGAGGGAAAGCUACUCUAACUAACAUACAACAUGAUUUUUUAGGCUCUGUCAUGCAUUAAUAAGUUUGAGACAUGUCGUUUGGAGGGGUAGGCAAGGCUGAAAAAUAAACUACAUUACUCGAUACUUGAAUUGAGUUCAAUUACAGUUCACUCAAAUUUGAUUCACCAAUCAGUCAAAUGAAACAUGAACGACAUCUCCGUUCCACAAAGUUUCAAGCGUAACUAUUAGCAUGCAUCGUAAAAUUUAUAUGUAAACAAUUCAAAUUACUUGAAAUUAACGCAAAUUCAACUCAGAUAAAAGUUCGUUUAAGUUCCAUUAGAUAAAUAAACAAGUCGAAUUUAAAUAUAAUCCCAAACGCGUCGAAAUAAUAAAAAAAUUUAUUGUGCUCAUUUACAACCUAGGAGCAGAAAAGAAGCCAUCUUGUGCUUCUCUUUUGUCCUUAAAUUUUUGUAAUCUUUGGCAAUAUGGAUGAGGGCGAAAGUGCUAUUCUGCUAGAACUCCUCUUUGUAGAUUGACAUUUGCACAAGGCUGCAUGAUGCUAAAUUUUUGGCCUAGCACCAGCAGUCUCUGUCUCUGUACUGAGCAGCUGUACAUAUUAGGGUGCCAUGGCGUCACAAAAUCGAGGCAAAAGAAAACUUUUAAAGUACCAGACCUCAGAACUCAGAAGCAGGUACGAGAGUAUCACAUGUUCCUCAAAUAAUCCGUCUACGUUAGCCAGUGUUCCACUUCACGGCUGUUUCGUCAAAAGGACAAAAUACACUAUGGAUACGGUUGCAUGAUGGUGUGCAUAUGUCUGUAUAUGUUAAGUGUGGAUGUGAUCCUGUUCCUUCUUCCCUUACUUUGCAAAAAGCAGUUUGAUCUUUGCUUAAAUUUGGACAAAUGAUGACUCGGCCCACAUGAAAAGGACGGUACUAUUAGCACCUCUGUUCCCUGAGCACUUGCAUGAUAAGUUGCUUUUCUUCUAUAUGGGCACAAAUUUUGAUUCUCUUUAGCUGCGUUUCUUCUACUCCUGACCCCCCUCCUGCUGCAUUCCCUGCCUUUCGUUUCUAUCCAGUUCUCUUGCUUGUUUAUUAAUAUUCAGCCAAUUACAAUCCGCUUGAUAUAUUUAGGGUGGGUUCUCGUUUGAUAAGUACACACAAUUUCAGAUUAUUUUGAAAAAUCAGUUUUGUUCUUGUGUUGGUGCUCGCCUUUGUGUUUAGAUUUUAGAAUUUUUUUCGGAUGGACAAAAAAAAAAGUUAAAAUCUAUUAGAAUCUAUCAUGGUUGCAAACGAGCUGAAUCGAGUUUUGACUCAAUAAAACUGGCUUAAUUUCAGCAAGCUUGAACUCGAGUUCGAUCGGCUCAUGAACAGCUCGACUUGUAUGCAGUCCUAGAAUCUAAUCAAUGCUGGAUUAUGCUAAUUCUAAUUAAUUAAACUCUUUUAGCAUAAUCUAAAGAUAAAUGAUACUCCAAGUAUCAGUUAAUUCCGAAUGAAGUAUCACAGAAUUGGAGUGCAUAUUCAUUAGGCCAAUUAGAUCACAAACCUAGGUUGCAUUAAAUUUUUUUUUUGAAAAAAAAAAAAAAAAAGAUGCAUCUACCACCACCACUUAUUCGUGGCAUCUAGAUCUAUCUUUAACGAUAUGAGAGCCUUCCUCCAUUUUGAAAGCUUCCCCGUUACAAGUAAUAACGAAUGAGUCGGGGAAAGAGGUGGUCAGAUUCAUUGCAAAAGAAUGGCCUGUGGAGUUUAGAUUGACAUGUUGGUUUUUAUAUACAUUCUCUACACAUAAAACUAAUUAUUUGACUCUGGAAGAAGAGACAUUUAGGAGACAGGCAGGGCAAAAGAUGCAGAGCAAGGCAGUGUUGAAUCUUGACCAUUCUCUGUAGUCAAAUUGGUUGCAAAACUUAUUAGCUAACUGAAAUCUCCAAUUUGUCGACCAAAGUCGCACGUCACAGCUGGCUUGAGUUGGCUUGUCCAAGGAAUUAAAUAACCGUUGAGAAAGGAUGCUGGUGGCAAUUCUAUCAUAGUCAUCGUCAAUGGAGCUGAAUUUUGUGGAACUUUUCUUGAGUUGAGUCUAAUUUCUGAUGGUUUUUCUGUAUUAAAUGCAAUAAGAAUCUACCAAGGAUGGAACUUUGUGGUUAUGCAUGAACUUGUGCCAUUAGCCACUAGGUGUCUCCCAGCAUAGAUCAUGGAUGCCUUCUCUGAGUGACCCAAGUCUUGAUGAAGAUGAUUUCACACCGCAGAGAUGGUCCACCCACAUAUUCUCCUCUCUUAUUAGCUAGCGGCAUUAACAUGCCUGAGUAAUGGGCUGUCACUGUUCACACCUAAAUUCUUAAAUGAAAAAUCUGUCACUUCGAUUUUCUUCCUUUGCUUAGUAAGUGUCUAUCUGUUGCCAAGGCCAGUGCCACAAAUACUGAGUUUUCUCAAACUCUCAUUCACACUCAAUACUGUGUUUAUAGAAAUUAAACACCGCAUCUUUUCUUGUCUCUAACACCAUAGCAUGUCACAUGUCCUAUAUUUGGACCUUGUGCUUUAGGAGGUGAUUGAGAAAUUAUAUCUAGAAGACUCAUAAAUAAAACUUUGCUCCACAGCAGAAAGCAUCAACCUUCACGUAUAUUCAUGUAGAAUACUAUAAGUAGUUGCGGUUCUUCUACAACGAAAACUAAACAAGAGAAAGGCCUUGGAGAGUUGGUUUGCUUAUCUAAUGCUGGCUGUUUCUUUUGUAUCCUGACUAAAAAUGAAUACUUCAUACAGCCUGAACCCUUUCAACAGAAAAUUUCUUGAGAGUCAAAGUUUACUUACAAGAGUGGAGAAGAUUAUACAUUUCUUGCAUCAUGUAUCUAUAGAUGUAUACACAGACCCAAUGACUAACCAAUGAUAACUAUGUAGAGGAAGGAACUAAACCAAAAUUUAUUCAUGUUUGCAGUAGGUACCUGAAACUGAACUCAUACGGCACAAUUUCAAGAAAUUGUGACAGAGGCUGAUUUCUCUCCCUAUCAAGGCAGCUAAUCGCUUCUUUUCCAAGUUCAAUCGGUAGUUGAAGGCAUAUCCAAUCAACCAGCGAGUCCAAGUCCUUGGCAAAAUCAAGCAUAUACCAAUCCAAUAGUUUUGGAAUUGCCACCACCUUCUUUGUAGUUGAAAUGCCAACUGUGGCCUGCAAGUACUCCUUUUUAGCCACUUCCAGCUCAUUUUCAACCUCAGCUGCUGUGUACAUUCUCACCUUGAUUGAGAAAGCAAACCUCAUCAUUAACAGCAUAGGCAUGCUAAAAACUUAAUAAUGCACUGAUGUAAAAACUAAAAUUCUGCUGAUUGAUAAAACGUUACUUCAAAUCAGCAUUUUCGAGUCUCAAAUCUUAUACACACCUCAGUACACUAGGCAAGAUGUUGGCAAAUGCAAAUUUAAGACAAUUGCAGUCAACAAUACAUAUUGGCAGGAGUCAACAAUAGUUUUCCCAAGUAAUCUACACUUCCAAUUGAGGAUGACUAAAUGAAUUCUGUCUACUCUGUGCACUAACUUACAGCAGGUGAAGACCAGCUACCACAGGAAAGAGCAAAUGUAACCAGUGGUUCUGAUAAUUCCAAUCCAAAAAUGCUACGUGCUGACAUUUCCUCAUUUUUGGCCCCUUUUGCAAAAGUCUGAAAAGACACCACCAUAGCCAGAUAAAACAUAAGCUACUUUAAAUUUUACUUCACAUAAUGCUGGUACUUCUGUCUGAUAAAGACUCAUCUUACAUAUUUUGAAUGAUAUGGCAGUCUGAGUAUGAAAUGCUCAAUAGUUAUCGCAUUGAGAAAAUGACCUCCAACAUUUAUGGUUGCCUGCAUUAUAAGAAGCCAAGUAUCACCAAGAUAUGCAUAGUAUUUCAUCUAUAUAGAAAUAUCAUUUGAGAUUAUGUAUCAAAUUUGUUAUUGAAUAUUGUUGUGAAGGUUAUGAGACAAAAGAGCUUACAUCCAUAUACACUUCUGAUGCAGAUAAUGCAUGUAAGAAAUAACGUUCAGUUUUUGUAGGUCAUUCAAAUCUUUGAACAUGUUAUUCUGGUAACUAAGCUUGUAUAAAUUUUUCUUUCACAUAAUGCAUUAAAUUCCAUUUUCCUUUUGCUUUUCCUCAAGAUCAUUUUCUUCUCCUCCCCCCCCCCCCACCAACUCAUGAUUACUGCAUUCUUUACAUUUUGAGAAGGAAAAAAACUCUUAGAUUACACAAAAAAGGACAAGACAUCUCAAAUAGAAAUACCUUUUGCAUCAAUGCAACUACCAUUUCAGGACUCUCUGGUAUUCCAUGUUCAAGAUAUGCCUGAAUCAAGGUAGUAAAGAACUUACACAUCAAUUACUUAAAUUGAGCACGUGUAAACAUACAGGUGGUAUAGAAAGUUUUAUCUAGUGCGUUUCAUCUAUUUUCCUCUUUUGGGAGUAGGAGAAAUGGUGUUCUGCAUAUAGAACCAUGAUGCAUAUAGGAAAUGAAUGCUGAAAUGAGAUUUAGAUAGAUUCUGCAUUAAUGCAUGUAGAAUCUCACACCUACAUUCAUCAUACAAGAAUUGUAAAUGUUGAUCCAGAAAGCAAGCUUCUCUUGAUGAGUGAGGCCUUUUAAAUCAACUGAUGAUAAUUUCUCAAGUAAAACCCUGAGAACCAAGGGAGACGAGACAUGUAAGAGCACCAGUAAAAGUAUGAAUGAGUAAUAAAGUUUAGAACUGAUUAUGACAGUAACUUACUUUAGUCUAUGAAGUAGGAACACGGAUACUGUGGUUCGGUUUGGAUUGAUAGAGCUUGCCUCUAUAGCAAAUAAAUGUUUAUAUGGACCAAUAUCUCUCUUGCCAAAAUCUGAGCAGAUACCAUAUGGAUCCUUAAAAUCUGCAUCCUCAAAGCCCUCACAAGAACUCAAUGUAGACAGUGAAGGUAAUGAAUCUGCUAUGCUUCCAGUCCUUUUGGAGUUCAUUCUUAAGAAAAUGCUCAAUAAGCAUUUCAAAAUGCUUUCGGAAAUUUUGUUUGGAUUGUCAGUUGCUGAUGAUUUUUCAUCACCAGGAACAGGAGUCCUCCCUUUGCACUCAUGGUCCAUAUCUAACUGAAAAUUUAGAACCUGUGGUCAUUUGAUUGGACAUAUAUCUCAUAGAUUUACAAAGAAAGAAUGAAGUAAGCACCUGUAAUUUCUUGGGUUCUAAGCGCUUGUCUGCUGAUCUGGACUCGAAUGGAGGCCUUUUAACAGGAGUUCUGACAGUUGGUGCUUUGAUACUUGGAGGUUUCUGCUUAUUCUUUGUUGAAUUAGCGCAAAAAUCAUUUUCUUUUCCACGUGCAUCAUCUGAAAAAUCAAACAGAGGCAACAGUUUCUUCUAGUUGUCCUAUCCAUUUUUGACAAGGUAAAUGGGUGAAAGUAGGUAUAGGCAUGAGGUAAAGCCAAAACAACUUGAUCAAAGUAUUACCUGUGAGAAAUGUUAAAUGCCUCCCUCUGGAUACUAUGGAAUUUUCUUCAGCUUGAAUUGACAACUUAGACUGCUUUUGUUUCCAAUCAUUCGUUUGGUACUGGUCACAUACAUCAUGUGAAUUGUCCGUGUUCCUCUUUGACGAUGAGAUGUACACUGCUUCCUGAUACAAUCCUUGCCUGAACUGCACAACUUGCUCUUCAAGCCGAACGACCUCCUCUUCCAAAACAGCAACUUCGGCAAGCAGCUCCAGUGUCUACACAUAUCCAUCUUAGGCAUUCAGGUCACAUUUGAGAUAUUAAAACUCCAUGGAAUUUAUCAAUUUCUUACCAUGACAGGAAUUUUUCAGUAUACAACCAGUUAACAGUAAAGGUAGUCUCACACAGCAGUUGCAUGGUUGCAAUUUCACAAUGAAAUCAAGAGUUUUGUUAUUUAUUCAACUACAUUCUCCCUUCAUGCCUCAACUACAACAUUUAAUUUCACUGUUUGUAAUGCAGUACCUUACUGCAUAUCACAAAUACUUAUCCAGAAAACAGAAAAGACUGUUCCUAUCUCUCCAUAAACAGUAGCUAGUCUGAAAUUCAUCCUCCACAUUGGAAAGGAAAGAGUUUUUUAGAUCAGGCAGAUAAAGAGAAAGAGAGACUAACAUGAGGAGGUAGAUAGGGGGGAAGACGAGGCAAAGCUCCAAGAGGUCUGGUGAAUGCCCUUUCCAAAGCUCUGUGAACAUUUUCUUCUUGUCUGAGUUUUCUCUUCAACUUGUCAACCUAAAAUUCAAAAAUUAGUACCAAAUUGUGAAAGGUUAAAAUGCAGAAUUGAUAAUUAAAAACCUACAUCUUGCUGCAAUGCUUUCUUUCUUUCUCGGAUUGAUACUCGUCUUGUGGUUGCUUUCUGAGCAUUCAUUAUCCUCUUACCAUGUAUUUCCACUUUUUCCUGCAACCAGUAAGAAGAGAAUACAACUGUCAGCUUCCACAAGAAAAGAAUUGGACAUGGCAUAAUAAACAAAAAAGGACACAUACACAUGGGACAAAAGAAAGGCCAGGAAAGAUCAAAAUCAUUGUGGAUUAGAAGCAAAGCAGGAAACUUUUGAAGCUUUAUUGAAAGAGAGGAUCCAAUCCCACCAUCAAUAGGAAACACAAAAAGUGGAGGGGACAGAUUCCAAUAUCCAAAAUUCAAUAUAAACUCAAAACUAAUCAAGAUUAAGCCAAAGAAAUUCUGUUCCUCCUGCAUUUAACCAACUAAGACAGAGAAUUCAUCUGGAAUUCAUAUGAAAGAUGCCUACUUUAUCAAAAUUUCCAGGAAAUUUCUCCAUCUGAAGCCCUCCCAAUUGGACUUAAGGCCCUAAAAUUCUUAUUCUGGAAAAUUGCCAUUUCUGGAAGAUUCAUGUCAACCAAUUGAUAAACAAAUUGGAUAGAAGUUGUAAGGAGAAUGAAUGGCUGUGAUUAGUACAAGCUGAUAAAGGUAAACAUAGACUGUGGUUACUUUUUCUUGCUUUACAGGAGGUGCUCUCAUAGACUGCACAGCAGUCCUGGCUCUGGUAUUCAUCUUUCUUCAAUCCCCAGAGAAAUCAAUGAAACCUGCCAUACAAUAAAAUCCCAUUUCAAUGCAUCCAAAAAAUAUACAAACAGACAAAAAAAAAACGAAAAAAGACAAUUAGAAUAAGAACAAGGUAAAGGGGAGAAGCAAUAAAUGAAGAUAGCAAGCAAAGAGAGAGAUGGAUGAGAAGAAUGAGACCUUCAGAGGAAUGAAUUCAAUUCAUUGCGGCAGCAGCAGAUGAGCAGAAGAAGCAGAAUUCCGAUAUCCCAGAAGCGGGAAACAGGUGUUGAAUAAUCCAAAAUGCAAAACAAAGGUAGCCUAGAAUCCCAAAAGACAAACAACAACAACUGACUAGAGUACUUGGUAUUUCUGUCUCUCUUGGUCUGUUGAAUGUUCAGUUCAUCCCUGCAUUUCUUGAUCUCCGUGAAGUUAACGCAUUAUCUAAUUAUCUAUCGCCACCCCGUUUCAGCUCUCUUCAGCUACUGGACUACUACUAGUAUACUACUAUCUAUCUAUAUCAUCCCUCGAGAAAAAAGUGCAAAUUUCCACUUCUCAAUGUCAGUGAAACUAGUAUGAAAGAGAGAUAAAUAUACUAGUCCAAUUUGUUACUCCCUCCCUCCCUCUCUCUCUCUCUCUCUCUCUCUCUCUCCAUAUAUAUACACGCGCAGAUACAUAUGAAAGAGAGAGAGUGAGAGAGAGAGAGAGGGAAUUUACAACUGUACUUUCUGGCUAACAUUAAAUUAGUAAUUGAAAAUUUUUAUUUAGAAAUAUUAUGGUGCGGGAAAAUGUACAAGUUAAAUUACAAUAGACAUGGUACAAAACAGUUAAAGAUGCUACAAUCCUAUUCUUCAAAAACAAGUUUUUCAAAUAUAAAUUUUUCUAAAGAUGCCUAGUAAUUUAUCUGUGCAAGAUUUUUUUUUCUGAUCAAAAUAUACAGUGCUAAUAAGUUACAACUAGUGCCCCGGAAGAAUGAAUAUCAAUUUGUGGUAAUCCAGGGGGAGGCAAAAAAUGGUUAAAAAUUAGAGGUUUGGUUAAAUAUUAGAACUGCUCAUUGAUUGUUUAAUUGGUUGCAAAUUGCAAUGACAAAAAUAAGAGGUUAGACAUGGAGUCUCCAGUUUUUUGUUUGUUUCCUAUUUGGCGUCUUUCAAGUAAGGACAGAAAAAUUAAUCAUCAGAAGAGAGAAGUUUUUUUUGGGGGGGGGGGGGGGGGGGGGGGGGGAGGUUGGUCUUCAUCAAUGGCAAUUGACUUCUGCAAUGUGCACCCACUAGCCAGCUCUUGGGGUUUCCUAAAAUGAUGAGGCAGUGAAAUGGAUGUAAGGGUUGAGAAAUUUGGCAAUGGGAUUGAUAAAAAGGAAAGUAGGCAGACAAACCAAUUUUCAGUAAUCAUGAGAUAACGUGCGCUUUCUCUUUUACGUAUCUGGCUCUGCUUUAUGGUUUCUAAUCGGGCAUUUGCCUUGUUAUGGUAAUUCCAGGGUCCCUGAAUAAAAUGUGCAUAAAUUCUUGUUUUGAUCUGACACCUAACAAAACGAGCACCAACUAAGAAAUUUCUUUUGAUUUUACUGCAAUUUGAAGAAUAAGGAAAUUCUAGCAGUCAUUUUUGGCUUCAUUCUGAUGGUAAUAUGUUGAAUUCUCUCUAUAGAGAUAUUAGAAAUGAGUUUAUUGAGUUGCUCUAAACAUUAUUAAUUCACGCUUAUAGUAUAUGCUUUUACGGGUUACUGAGUUUAAUACUUUCCCUGUUUUUAUAGUAAUCCACAGAAUCAAUCUUUAAGUUAUUUUAAAGGGUUUUUCUAACGGAUGUUUUUUAAGCACGCGUUAACAUAACAAAUAUUCAUCUAACUCGCUAUAUAUAUAUAUAUAUAUAUAUAUAUAUAUAUAUAUAUAUAUAUGCACAUAAUAAUAAUUAUUAUCUUGUCUUAUAUUUAUAUACUUUCAUUGUUUAAUUGUACCUACCCUCUCUUGUAUUUAUUUACUUUUCUUAAUUAAUUUUAUAUUUUUAAAAAUAUAACACUUGAAAUAUAUCCGUUACGGGUGCCCUAUGGCACCUAUUAGACAAACUAUACUUUAAAAUGUUAGAAUUACAAAGUGAGCCGGGUUUCUUAUUCUCUCUCUCUCUCUCUCUCUCUUAACUAUAAGUAACUUUGAGGUUUCUUUUGCCGAAAAUGAAAACAACCAGACAAACAAGGAAAUUAAUCCUGCUUGGAUUUUUUAGUUUUUUUUGAGUUUUUAUAGAAAAAUAUAUUGUAAGAAUUUAACGUAUAUAAAGUAAAAAAGUAAUUGAAAAUAUGUUUAGGGAAACACGCAAAAUUUGAUUUAUUUUUAUUUUUUUGUAAAAAGCUACAAUCCGAACAAUGAAAGGCAGGAGAAAGAAAUUAAGAAGAGUGGCGUGGGAGUGGCUGAAAUCUGAAUGCAAAAGCUGCCUAAUCACAUGACUGCCAAUUAAUAAAGUGUUCUGCACUUGAAAAAGAAAAUUUAAAGGCUUUUCAGGGCAUCCCGCAAUGUCCUUACAUUACGUUAACUUUAAGUUUUCAGUACCCAUUUUGUUGAAGGCAAUUCAAUAAUUUUUCAGCCAAUUUUUACGGAGUCAGUCACGUGCUGGUCAGGCAAGAAUAUGUAUUUCAAUUUUUAUACUCCAUCUUAUGGAAAAAUAGUUCAAUUAUGAUUUUUUUUUUUUGGUCAUCUAAAGAAUACUAGAAAUCAAUUGAGCCCUCACAACCCUUGUGGAGGUUUGAUUAUCCCACAUCGGGGUUGGGGUUGGGUUUGGGUUAGGUUAUAAGUCCUCAGGAUGUCCUCAAGAGUUGCCGGCUUUUGAGGAUUGUUCUGGGAUUAGAUUUAUGGUUUGACAAAAAAACAACAACAACGUUGAGAGAAGAAACGCCAGCUUAUCACGGGGAGUGAGGGUCCGAAUAGUCACGGGCGAAAAGAUCCGCGCCGAAGGGCAAGCUCCCUUGUGGAGGUUUGAUUAUCCCACAUCGGGGUUGGGGUUGGGUUUGGGUUAGGUUAUAAGUCCUCAGGAUGUCCUCAAGAGUUGCCGGCUUUUGAGGAUUGUUCUGGGAUUAGAUUUAUGGUUUGACAAAAAAAAAAAUUGAGCCCUCACAAAGCAUAAUACAUCAAGGGUUAUGAUUAGAAAUCCAAAAUGCAACGGUCCAAUUCUAGGGUGCACGAUUAUCAUUCAAGAAUGAGGUGGUUGAGCAUAAUAAAGUUGAGCACAAAGCCAGAAAAAUGGCCUAAAUCCCAAAACCAAAAGUUCAUUCCCAAUCACUUUCACGGCCACACGUUGAUUUGACAUCCACUCAUUUCUUUUAAGUACUCUCUCCGUCCCAUUUGAUAGUUCUGAUUCUUUUUUCAUACAAUUUAAUAAAAAGUAGUUAAUUUUAUUUGAACAAUCAAUUUAGAUAACUAUUUUUCUAAAAUACAUUCACAUUAAUUAGAGUACAACUUUAUGGGAACUUGAAUUGAUGGUAAAAAAAGAACCAACUCUCAUUAAAUGGGAUAGGUUUAUAGUAACAACAACUUACAUUGAAUAAGGGUAUUUUAGGAAAAUUAAAAUACAACUACAUUUUUCAAUUAGAAAGUGGACUAUAAUUUGGGAUAGACGAAAAAAAAAACAAGACUUAUCAAAGUGGAACGGAGGGAGUAUCAAAAUUGCCAGAGCAGGUGGUGAUUAAGCGAUCAAACAUGAUCUUCUUAUUUAAAGACAUUUUGUUUGCUUCCUUGAUUUCAUAUCUCUGGUUUAGUUCAAAUUUAUGAGUUUUUUUAUAGAUCAGAUGUAUCAUUUGACUUUGAAAUCUAUAUGGAUCUUUGUCAUAUUUGAUGUAUUUGCUACCAUUAACACAGAUAUCGGAAUGAUAUUAUGAUUUUAUACCCAAAAAAAAA